RNAcentral lists this non-coding RNA (223 nucleotides) under Pseudomonas sp. Lineage: Bacteria; Pseudomonadati; Pseudomonadota; Gammaproteobacteria; Pseudomonadales; Pseudomonadaceae. The record is from RNAcentral.
GUAGCCUUGCGCACUUGAGGUUCGCCGACCUGCCAUUACCGGCAGCGGCGCUAAGAAGGGAAUGUGGUUCAAGCCACAGCUGCCCCCGCAACUGUAAACGGUCAUGUUCAUUGCACAGCCACUGCGCGAGCGGGAAGGCGCGAUGAAUGCGAUUGGCCUGACGAAACCGUCAGUGCGAUUCGCUACCGUAAGCCAGGAGACCUGCCUCGAACAAUGGCCUGCC